GAUGAACGCUAGCGACAGGCCUAACACAUGCAAGUCGAGGGGCAGCACAAGGUAGCAAUACUGAGGUGGCGACCGGCGCACGGGUGAGUAACGCGUAUGCAACCUGCCUGUAACAGGGGAAUAGCCUCUUGAAAGAGAGAUUAAUGCCGCAUAAUACGAGAUUCGGGCAUCCGGAUUUAGUUAAACAUUUAUGGGUUACAGAUGGGCAUGCGUUUCAUUAGGUAGUUGGUGAGGUAACGGCUCACCAAGCCGACGAUGAAUAGGGGUUCUGAGAGGAAGGUCCCCCACACUGGUACUGAGACACGGACCAGACUCCUACGGGAGGCAGCAGUGAGGAAUAUUGGUCAAUGGACGCAAGUCUGAACCAGCCAAGUCGCGUGAAGGAUGAAGGUAUUAUGUAUUGUAAACUUCUUUUGUCAGGGAAUAAUGGGUGUCACGUGUGACGCAGAGGAAUGUACCUGACGAAUAAGCAUCGGCUAACUCCGUGCCAGCAGCCGCGGUAAUACGGAGGAUGCGAGCGUUAUCCGGAUUUAUUGGGUUUAAAGGGUGCGUAGGCGGUUUGUUAANUCAGUGGUGAAAGUUUGCGGCUCAACCGUAAAAUUGCCAUUGAAACUGGCGAACUUGANUACAGUA
This 633-nucleotide ribosomal RNA is filed under the name uncultured prokaryote. Its description in RNAcentral is "bacterial SSU rRNA". It matches the Rfam family "Bacterial small subunit ribosomal RNA", at positions 28 to 653 of the family's 1533-position model. The record is from RNAcentral.